This 5597-nucleotide long non-coding RNA is filed under the name Gallus gallus (chicken). RNAcentral's name for it is "lncRNA (ENSGALG00010026541.1)". Lineage: Eukaryota; Metazoa; Chordata; Aves; Galliformes; Phasianidae. The record is from RNAcentral.
CUGGAAGUUGUUAACCUUGGAAGAGCAGUGUUUGCAAUUGUUCUUUGGAGAGAAAGAGAAAACUGAGAAACUCCUUGAAUAUAAAUACGUAAACAUGCUGCAGAUUGUUUAAUCAGUGAUGCAGCUAACUAAUUUAACCCUUUCCUAGGUGACUGAGUUUUCUUCUUAACCGGCCUGAGAAAGCAAGCACGCUGCUCCCACCAUCGUGGAGAGCAGGAUUCAGCAGCCAGGCCUGGGCGGGCAGAUGGGUGAGGCGAGCAGGGCAGGCAGGAGCAUCCUGGCUGAAAGCAGACAGCCUGGGUGGAAUGACCAAAGGGAGCGGCAUGGCUGGGGAUGGUGCGAUCCCCCAUGAUGAUGGUGAAGACACAAAGUCAAGUACGCUCCCUUCUGAAAGUUACUAAAUGAACUUCAAUCAGGACUUCAAUUUUCUUUCUGAAAACUGCUGGCAAAACAAGUGAUUCUGUUCCUGGCCUCAGAAUAAGGAAGAACAUGUACGCUUCAGAUACCUGAAAGGAACUGCUGUAUAGUGAAACUGGUAGUCACUUUUAUUCUUCACUUGGAUUUAUCUACGUACAUGAGAAAAUCACAGCCACAGAUAAGUUCAAUUUUAAUAUAUACCUAUAUUAUAACAAAUUAUGUUCCUACUGCUCUCAAUGAGUUACCUGAGAAAUCCCAGGAUAUUAAUUGCCAGCUGGAUAAAACAGUUGCAAAGUAAUUUCACCCAAAUAUUAGUGUUUAAUGCUAAUUGCUAAAACAUGAAUUUUAGCAGCAGCUACAUUUGAUAGUAGUUCUUUGGUUUCAAAACAGUGAGACUGGAGAGAUGUGGGUCAGGUUUGACAGCACAUCCUUGAAAAGGCCAUUUGCUGUUUGGAACAUUAUUUUCCCCCAGUGUAGAGAAAGGCCGGGCAGCACACAAUUUGUGCUCUGGCUGUCACAACACACAGGAGACAUAUCUUUAUCAGUGAUUAUUAGCUGUCCUCUUCAUCCUUGUAUUUGGUCUUUUAUUUUACUUGGCUGAAAAACAGAUUGGAAGAUAGUGCCUAUGUGUUACUGUGUGUGGCAGCAUGGACAAAAUUAUCUGGCCUUUUCUCCUUUUCCAACUGUGCAAAAACAUUAUUUUUGAUUUUGUAGUCUGCUGCAUGAAAAGUUAUAUUGGGUCUGCAUUAUUUCUGUCCUCUAAUACCUGGAAAAAAACCCACUAAAUAUGUAAUUUUAAUGUCCUUUGCCUCUUUCCAGCUAAGUCUAGAUUUCUAAUUCUGCAGUGUUUAACCUUCUGCAUGAGCUAGGUAUUUCCCUGUUCACAGAACUUCUUUUUCCUUUACUUUUUGAUGCAUGUUUCUUUCAAGAAACCUCACACUGCUCAAUAGCAAAAAGAUACUUGAAAGAAAACAAUGUGCCAUGAGAUCCUGGAAUACACUGUAUCUCACCAUGACUGCCCUCCAGAUGUGGGCAUGUGGGGCAGAGACUUUCUCUCGCUCAGACUGUACGUAAGUGCAGCGCCACUGCUUCACGUUUAGUAACCCCCCAUCAGUCCUCCCUAGAUGCCAUUCUGACCUCACCUCACUGCAAGUUUGUUCUUAUUAGGGGCCUGAUCCAUCAAAGCACUUAAGCACAUGGUUGUAGGUUGUAAACCCACCAGGACUUUUUAUAACCCUGUAAAGUAUGUAGAGUGUGUACCUACGGCACUAUAAAAGAUAGGUUUAAGUGAUGCCUGUGAUAAGAGCUAGCCUUUUUUUUUCAGCAGUUAUCCUCUGUAACACACAGUUUCUGCAGUUUGUGUUGCAUAUAUUUCAAAUUAGGCUGGUUUUGACAAAUCGACUGUUUAUUUUUUAGUUUUGCCUUUUUUGUUUUUGCAUCUGUCUAGAAGAGCAUCUAUACCUAAUAAAUUUUCAAGAUAUUCUUCCUUAUCUGCAUCCCUCAAAAAACCAUUUAGAUUCUGUUAGACACUCUGGAGGAAUAUUUAAUAGUUAAAAUUUUUCAAUUCAGCUUCUUAAAAAAAUUAAAGCAAAUAAGAAAACAGAACCAUCGUGGGCCCUGCAGAUACCAGAGAGAGUAAAUCUUAAGGAUUGUUCUGAGAGCACAAUUUCACCCAGUGCAGAAUUUUAAUUUCUGUAAGCACUGAAAAUAAAAAGUAAUUAAACCUCUGCAUAUUCCUCGUGUACUAUAAAUAUAUUAAUAAAAUAGGCAAAGAACACCAACUCCUAAAUUAUUAGCGGUAGUAAAAUGCUGAAUAUUGAAAUAGUUUAAUUUAUUCAUUUAUAAUUUUUAUCAGGCUUAAAUAGGCCUCUAGGAGCAAUUUAACCAUUACAAUAACACAAUUGUUCAGUACACUCAGCAGUUAGAUACACAGAUAUCAUUGCACAAAACCAAAUAGCAAACUACUGGCAAAAUCCCAUGUUCCAAUGUAAAGUGAUGAUGAAUUUACACAAAGACAGCAGAUUGUUCUCUCCUGCCUCCUUUAUGAAUGAGUAACUUCUGUAUUUCAGUGUAAAAACUACUGGUCAGUGAAUCAGUGCCUCACUUUCAGCUGGGACAGAGUUGUUUUCUUUAGGGUGUCUAAUGUAUGAUGCUGUGUAUUGGUUCCAGGAGAAAAACAAUGCUGAUAACACACCAAUGUUUAUAGUUGCUGCUAAGCAGGGUUGUACAGAGAACCAAGGCCAUUCUCAGCAAAGGGCCCAAGGAGAAGGGAUGGAACAGAAUUAGGACAGCUGACACAAACUGACCCAAGGGAUAUUCCAUACUAUACCAAGCAGAAGAAAUUUUGAAGGGAGUGGGCAUUCAUCUCUCUCUCUUACGCCGCUUGGAGGACUAGCUGAGCAUUGGUCAAGGGGUGGUGAGCAAGUGCUUCUGCAUCCCCUGUUAUUUACAUUCACACAUAUACAUACAGUCAUAACUAUUAUCCUUUUCUCUAUCUUAGUAAAUAGUUUUAUCUCAACCCACAAGCCCACAAAUUCUAUUUCUUUUUUCUUUUUUCCUGAUUUUUUCCCCCAUCACACAGGGAAGGAGGGCAGUGAGCAAACCACUGCAUGGUGCUCACUCACCUGCCAGGUAAAACCACAGCAAUCAGUGCAAUAGGUCUGGUUCAAUGCCCACAGAAAGAGACAAGCUCUAAUUGUAAAAAUUCUGGCUAACCAGGGUUUCUGUAAGCUAGUAUAUAUAGAGCGUAAACCUAAGCCCAGAAUGAACUUAGAUCUGUCUUGGAUGUAUUUUAGAGAAAAUUGGUUAAGUCUAACGCCACAUAUAAAGAAUAGAUGAUACAUAUUAGUAGCAGAGACAAGUGUAUAUCCUUUAGUCUAUGUAUUAAAUAAUACAUCUUCAGAAAAAAGGUAUUCAUGUCUAAGGAAAAACCUACAACAUAACAUCUCCAAGAAUUUCAAGUGGUAAUUAUUCUUUCGGAUAAGUAUUAAAAGACAUUGAAAUGAAUGCAUACCUCCUGUUACACUCAGAAUUCUACCAGUAGAAGACAGCUAGUAUCAAAGUAGGGAAAAAGUGAGUGGAUCAGAGAUCUGAAUAGUCUCUUCAUAAAGAUGUAGCUUAAUAUCUCGCUUAUAUCCAAUUUGGGAAGGCUUCCUCCAGAAAUAUAGUAUCAUCGUUAAAGGUUGAAAGAGAUCUCAGGAGGUCUCUAGUCUAACCCUCUCCUCAAAACAGGAUCAGUUCUAAUGUCAGACCAAGUUACUUAGGUCUCUAACUGGUCUGAUCUUGAAACCUCCAUGGCUGGAGACUGCACAGCCUUUGGCCAUCUCAUUCCGCUGCUUGAGUGACCUGAUGCCAUGAGUCCAGAACCACUGCAGGAGUACCAAUGAAAAAAUCUGAUUUCACAAACUGCCUCCAAAUCACCCUGAGGAAACACCAUUUACGUAUACUGUGCAGCUUGCAUUUUAUUUACUUCUUCUUUAAAGGAGAGCUCACUAGGUGAAUAUAAUUAUUAACUAUUACUUUUGGUAGAGGCUCCCUCAACACCUAAGCAAACAAUAUACUUUAUCAUAUUUUGAACAUUUCUUAACCAAGAGAGGUAGAAAGAGUUUUCUAAUUUAUGUAAAUGCUAAGGUCACCACCUGAAUGCGAAAGCACGAAGUUACUGACUUAGGCCUUAAUCUGAUCUAAUCUUAGAUGCAUCUGUCCCCACUGAAAAGCAUAACAGUGCCUGGACAUUAGAUGGCUGCUGCAGAAUCUGCUGCUAUGUUCACCCUAUUCCACGGAUGGAACACAUCCCCUGGACAUACCUCCAGUGCCAUCUCCUCACGAAGAUGUUUAUAAUAUUCAUGUUAUUAUAGAAUCUACAGACCGGGUCUUCCCAACUCUGCAAGCCUUUAAGAACAGAAUUUUCCAGCAAGAAACAUAUUACUUCAAGAGGAGACAGUGAGACCAUACAGUCCUUAAGAGAACUCAUAAAAUGUCAAGUGCUGUGGAAACAGAACAGAAGCCCAUGUUUCAGCCAGGAUUGCAAUGGCCUCCUCCCAUGGGAAUAGCAGCUGCAUAAAUAGGAGGGAAGCCCUCAGUGGAAUUGCUUCCAACACCUUUCUAAUGGAAAUAAUGAUUUGCAAAGUCCAGUUUAUGCCUUUGCCACGUAAUUAGUAGCCAAGAUUAAAAACAUUGUUCCAACUCCCAGCAUCGUUGAAAUCUGGCAAAACCUUAAAUAUUCCGCUGUGUUCCAAGAAGGUAGCCCAUAAGUGAUCAUUGUAAGGACAGUCUUAGCCAGUUCAGUCAAGCCCUUGAAUCAAUCAACACUUAUUAUAUGGAAAUUAACCAGUUUGAUGUCAAUUAGUGGAAAUUUGUUAGCAGACAUAACCUAUGAGAUGUUUUAUUUUGAAUUCCUUGCUCUCCCCACUGAAGCUAGCUAAGAUAGGGAUAAGGACCCAGCCACACAUUUCUGAAGGCCUAGAGUAGAAUUAAUUAAAAAAGAAGUGGAGUGAAGCUGUAGUCAAAUACACAAAAACUCUACUGUCUACAGGGCACAAGAAGAACAAGGAACUGGAUAUCAGAUUUUUUUCUUGGAAGGAAUCAAUUUCUAGUCACAGAUUUUGGUGCAUAACAGUCUAUUCUGUAUGUGUCAAUACUGAGUAUAUGGAGAUAAAAAAAAGUGUAUAUAGUCUGAUGGCAAUUUGUACCCUCAUUUUGUGCUACUUUAAAGGUCCUUUUCUACCAUGUUCUUAUGCGUUAUAUCCUCGUAUUAAGAAAGUAAUAGUUUUUAAAUUAAAAAUGUCUGACUUGAUCAUUAAUUUUCCUCCUAAAAAUAACCUAAAAUAACCUUAAAAAAAAAAAAAGAAAAGUCUGGCUACUCAAGCCAGAGAGGGUGAUGAAAGAUUUCCUCAGCUCUUAAGAACAUUACCUGUCUGGCAUAUGAGGUGGAUUUGACUUUACUGUAAAUUCUAACUUUUGUUUAAAAUUAAUAAAGUACCCUCAUGUACCCUUCUACCUGUGUAUAUCAGCAUUCAGUAUGACAACCUGGUGCUCUACAAUUCAAAUUAAAUAUUAGGACUGUGGGUUCAAUCUCAAAGUUUUACAGCAAUCCUAAAACACUCACAGCUAAGAAGGAAACACAGGAUCAGAGUCUUGCUAUAAUAUGGAAAACUCCUGGCAGUCUUGAAGCCAGGGUU